Molecule: long non-coding RNA, 2844 nt
Filed under: Gallus gallus (chicken)
Lineage: Eukaryota; Metazoa; Chordata; Aves; Galliformes; Phasianidae
Source: RNAcentral
UUCACAUGCGUGGCCAAAAGGAGUGAACGCUGGGUCUGCCACUCCCUAACCUUAUUUAAGGUCUGGUCGCCACAAGGGAAGUAUCUCUACUUGGAGAUCAUCUUCUUUAGAGUGUUUAGUAAGCUCUAAUUCUUGGAAAGGGUGAAGGGCGGAACUGAAUUCAGCCAACUUGUAUUGUUCAGAGCUGAUAGAAAUGUUCCUGACGCUAUCAGUGACAGCUCUUUCUAAAACUAAUUAGCACUCCUGAUUUUUUUAUACAACUGACUGAAGAUGAAAUAUAUCACCACCAGAAAAUUUCAUGAAGGAUGUGACACCCACAAGAAUGAAGUUGAAAUGCUUUGGAUUAAAUUCAGACCCGAUGGAAUUUAACUGGAGAAAAAUAAGUAUGAAUAGAUGGUUUCUGUGAUUCCACUAUAUUGUCUUGAGGAUUGGCUUCUUUUUUUCCUGUUGCCUUUUUAAUGGAUUUUGCAGUGGAAUUGCCAGAUGAUGGCCUGAAUAAAUGGUUGAGCACCAAGUGAGAAGGUGCGGCUAACUCAAGGAGCUCAGGUGCAAGCAACACAGCUGAAUGACAGGAAGGUGCGGAACCUGGAUCCACUCCUCCUUAGCCUCAUUUAAGGAAGAAUCAGAAAGCUAAGAUGGACCACACUGAAGCGAAGCCUAAACAACACACUUCAUGUGAUAAUUACCUAUAAGUGGUGAGGUAUGUCAGCUCUAACUCAGAACAGAAGUUCUGAAAGAUAAAUUAAAUCCUGUAGUAAACUUGCAAAAUCCUUGUUUGAUUGCUUUCAAAAAGGCAGGAAAAAAAAAAUAACUUCAUUAAAGCAAGAAGAGCAAAUUUCUACUGGCAAAGAGUCAGAAACUAAAGACCCUAAAUAUGCAAAAUAGGAAUAAAAUGUAGUGAGCAUAAUUCUGCUUUGUUAUCUAUUUGUUGCCAUUAUGCAAUAACCUAAAUUGAAUGAAUUAAAAGCAAAAUAUGAACACAUAAGGCUUAACAAGAUUACAAGAAAAGAAUGGGGGCUUAAAUUAUGGGCAUGCCAAAACUAUAAAAUAUGCACGUUUCUGCAAUAUCAGAGUGAACAAGACAAUUCUUUGUUUAAUAGAAUUUUUCCUUUCUGUAAUUACUUCAGUGUCUGGGUCCACAGAGAAAAUACCACUAGUAAACAAUUAUUUUGCCAUUUUUUUCUUCUUUAUAGUUGCUCGAUUAUUUUUAUUAGUAUUCAGUGCUGAACCAUUUCCUGUGUCAUGCUGGAUGGAACAUUCUUUUAUGCACUUACAUGAGCAAAUACAAGUCUUUUUUUUACCUAUUUCUUUGAAUAUUUUCACUAUGUAUAAAUCAACAACUUUCACUAGAUUAAGAGGUGAAGAGAUUUUGACUUUCUUAAUUCUCUUUAUUAACUAUGAAUCUUUUUGAAGCAUUGACUGUAGCAUGAUUAUUUUCACCUAAAUCUUACUGCACUUCAAUGCACUAUUAGAUAUACUUCAUUUUAGUAUUGAAUAAAAUGAUAGCGCUAUCAUUUGCAUCCUGGCUUAAGUACAAAUACUUGUAAGAGAUUAUUCUUUUGCAUCAUUGUCUCAAAGCUUGCUGAGGGACGCAAAUGAACAAGUCCAAGCAAGUCCUGACCAAGGAAAAUUGGGAAAAUCUUCCAUUGGAAAAUUCUUUGUCUGGUGUUGUAGUAGGCGCUUGACAGGGAUAUGUGCUGUAUGGGAUAGGCCUCUCCCUAAGCAGAGUGAAAGGGUGCUGUUGUGCUCAGACAGACUGUCCUUGCUAACAAAGUAAACAAGAUAAGAAGGCAAAGGAAUGAGGAGACCAUAGGAGCCAAAUAAGGAAUUGUGGUAAGGGGCUAAGAUCCAGUACGGACGAAUCAGGACAGGGCACAAUAGCUCAAGUAAGGUAUAUAAGCUGUGUGUAUUAGUGAAUAAACGCCAUUUUGCAGCAUCCCCAUAUUAGUGUCUGUGUUGCUAUGGUCCUAGCGAGCUCUUAUCGCUAGACCCUGAUGGUGCGGCUUGGGACUAUGGUGGUUGCCAGUGGCAACAGUCUGGAGGGACAACGGAUGGUGAAGGCCAGGGGCAACAAGAGAGAGACAGAGAGACGCUGCAGCCCAAUGACCAGGAAACAGUCUUUUGUGCGGACUUAUCUCAAGGGAGAUAGUCAUCUCAGGGUGCUCACACAACUCUUACCCAAGCGCCCAGGGAUGUCAGGUAGGCAGGGAAGAAGGAGGAUAAAAGAGGGACGAACAACCAUGAGGUUAGGGUUCUGACUAACCCUAGUUCUAGUCAGAACUAGGGUUCUGACUUCUGACUACAUAUCCCUCAUGAAGAAAAGAGUUUCUGACUACAGAUUUCUCAUGACCUGAGACCUGCAUGCUGAAGAACAAGAAGGUUUCUGACAUGAGAAGCCUCACGACCUGCCUCUCCCUCCUGGACUUGCUCUGUGCCCUUCCUGCUUUCUGUCUAAGGCCAGCCACUCUGCUGCUGCUCUCCCCCCGAGAAGGUAUCUGCCAUCAGAGCCCUCACUACGAAAGGCCUGCAUGCUGACAGACUCUCCAGGACCUGCUACUGGAGACUUGCUGCUUCCUCCCAGUCUUCUUCCUGGACCUACUCGGUACCUGCACCUUCUUGCUGCCUAAGACCAGCCACGCUGCUGCUGCUGUUCCUCUGCUGCGCUUUUGCCCCAGACCGUUGGAACAUCAUGCAACAGGACUACUGCCGGAUCCUGGUGGUGGCUAUCCCCGUUUCACGCAAUUCUUGCUUCUUUAUAUCUUUUCUAUCACCUGCCUUCCCUAUCACCCUAAAUCAUCCAUUCUCCCCUUCCCUAUCUCCCUUAUUACAAAUCUUAAUAAACAG